Molecule: ribosomal RNA, 468 nt
Filed under: uncultured bacterium
Lineage: Bacteria
Description: partial 16S ribosomal RNA
Rfam family: Bacterial small subunit ribosomal RNA
Source: RNAcentral
GGGGGGGGCGGGGGGCGGGCUGGAGGCGUGCGGGUGGCGCGGGAGGGCCCUGAUGUUGUGGGGUGCUCGAGUGGGGAACGGGUGAUUCACCCGUGAGUAACCUGCCCUUCACUGUGGGCUAACUUCGAGCAACUGGGGCUAAUACCGGGUAGGAGCUCCUGCUGCCUGGUGGGUGUUGGCACAUUUCGGCGGUUGGGGAUGGCCUCGAGGCUUCUCUGCUUGUUGGUGGGGUAUUGGCUUACCAAGGCUUUGACGGGUAGCCGGCAUGAGAGGGUGCACGGCACCGUUGGGAUUGAGGAAAGGCACAGACUACUACGGGAGGCAGCAGUGGGGAAUAUUGAACAAUGGGCGGAAGCCUGAUGCAGCAACGCCGCGUGCGGGAUGACGGCCUUCGGGUUGUAAACCGCUUUCGCCUGUGACGAAGCGUGAGUGACGGUAAUGGGUAAAGAAGCACCGGCUAACUACGUG